GAUGAACGCUGGCGGCGUGCCUAACACAUGCAAGUCGAGCGGAGCGGGCACGGGUGGGUAACACGUGGAUAACCUCCUAUAAGACUGGGAUACCUUCGGGAAACCGGAGCCAAACCGGCUACUCUUAGAUGUAUCAUCGGUGCAUUAGCUAGGUGGUAAGGUAACGGCUUACCAAGGCAACGAUGCAUAGCCGACCUUAGAGGAGGAUCAGCCUCACGGCAACUGAGAGACGGUCCAGACUCCUACGGGAGGCGGAAGUGGGGAAGCUACCGCAAUGGGUUAAAGCCUGACGGAGCAACGCCGCGUGAGUGAUGAGGGUCUGCGGAUCAUAAAACACUGUUAUCAGGGGAGCGUUGCAUAAUCAGAAAGCGACGGCUAACUAGGUGCCAGCAGCCGCGGUAAUAC
Molecule: ribosomal RNA, 405 nt
Filed under: uncultured bacterium
Lineage: Bacteria
Description: partial 16S ribosomal RNA
Rfam family: Bacterial small subunit ribosomal RNA
Source: RNAcentral